CGCGUAGGUGGUCUUGUAAGUUUGUGGUGAAAGCCCGGGGCUCAACCCCGGGUCUGCCGCGAAUACUGCGAGACUUGAGUACUGUAGAGGCUGGUAGAAUGCCGGGUGUAGCGGUGGAAUGCGUAGAGAUCCGGCAGAAGACCGGUGGCGAAGGCGGCCAGCUGGGCAGUGACUGACACUGAGGCGCGACAGCGUGGGGAGCAAACAGGAUUAGAUACCCUGGUAGUCCACGCCGUAAACGAUGGGUACUAGGUGCUUGGGGGAGCGACCCCCUGAGUGCCGGCGCUAACGCAGGAAGUACCCCGCCUGGGGAGUACGGCCGCAAGGCUGAA
RNAcentral lists this ribosomal RNA (332 nucleotides) under uncultured Gemmatimonas sp. RNAcentral's name for it is "bacterial SSU rRNA". It matches the Rfam family "Bacterial small subunit ribosomal RNA", at positions 568 to 898 of the family's 1533-position model. Lineage: Bacteria; Pseudomonadati; Gemmatimonadota; Gemmatimonadia; Gemmatimonadales; Gemmatimonadaceae. The record is from RNAcentral.